GACCCUCCCAGCUUCAAGCCUUGUACCUUUGAUGGAGAUUAUUACCCUGGUAACAGGAACAACAGAUGGGAACACACAUUGAUGCCUCAGUUACUGCAGUUCUGGGUGCACCAGCUCAAGCUCCUGCUGAACGUGGAUGUGCACCAAGCCACAGGACUGUGAGCUGGGGCUGCCUUCACACCCCACAGCCUUCUGUGCUCUGGGAGGUGAUGUCCAGCAGGAAGAUGAAGCAGGUAUGAAGAAAAGUUUAGUUGUAUGGAGAAAAUGCUUCUCACUUUGAAGAUCUCAUUUGAAAGGCUGAUAAAGAAAUGCCCUGAAAUUAAAGAUAUUCUCAGGUUCAGAGAACAAAGGGGGGAAGCACACAGACCCAAGAAAGAAAGCUCCUCUUGUGCGUGAGAGAGUAAAGGACACUUUGACUCACUUGAGAUCUCUCGAAAUGCUAAAAAAAGAAAGGGAAGAAAAAAGUACAAGAAAAGACACUCAUGGAACUGCUGAGAAUUUGAGGAUUUCAAACUUCUUGAAGAAUUCCAAAUAGUUUGGAAUGGUUGGAGCAGAAGUAAUUGCUUCUAUUGCAUAAAUAAAUUUCGGCUGACAGCCACACCUUCUCUGCACACACUCUGAAAGCUCUGUAUAUUCCCUACUGCUCCAAAUCCAGCCAGCAUGGGGCAUGGACAGUGAAAAGUUUGAGCCUAUGAUAGUCUGUGUACAAGUGCUCUUCUGCAUUUCCCAGUUAACACUGUGGCUUGUGUCUGUCUUGCAAAGCUGCUGUCAGCCACUCAAAGUGGCCCAUUCUUCCAGUAAAGAUUUUAGUUGCCCAGAAGAUGUCUUUUGUUGUCAACUGUGGCGUAUUGCAACUCUGAAGAAUUCCAGUAUCUUUGUGCAAGACUGUAUUGGCAAUUACAAUUUGUGUAAGACAUUGAAUCAUCCUGUCCAAACCAUCUUUGGGCAUGUACAGACUUGGCUGUUCACUGAACUUUGCUCAGCCACCUAUUUCCACCAGUUCCUUCCUCAGGUCAUGGCUUUGGUCAAGCAAGACUCCAGGCUCACUUCUGUGCUUCUAGUUUUUCCUAGAAAUGCCUGUACCCACACUGGAUUAGUUUGUUGUCAGCAUUCUCUGAUUUGUUGUUAGUGCCUUGUUAAGUGAGACACCAGCAGUUUUGGGGCCAGUUUGCUGAUGGAGUACAAAAAUUAACACAUUAAUAUGAAGCAGCUCUAUGCCAGGACUGGGAUGGUCCCCACACUUCAAGUUAAUGUAGUUGGUUUGUAUUUUUAUAGAAACGUACGUUGAAAGUUUUCACGAGCCUUACUUGGUUUAGUUCUUACUUGCUACAUUUUUUUUUGUGUUUUGGUUUUGGAUCACCUUAAAAUUUCUCUUUUCAUACUAAGUUCCCAGCUUGGCUAAACAUGUGAGUGUAUCAGCAUCCAUAAUAAAAUACAAAGACCUCAUUAACACACCUUUCUUUAUAAAAUAGUU
This is a long non-coding RNA of Pezoporus flaviventris, 1474 nucleotides long. RefSeq lists it as uncharacterized. NCBI's taxonomy places the organism in Eukaryota, Metazoa, Chordata, Aves, Psittaciformes, Psittacidae. The transcript is spliced from 4 exons. The record is from RefSeq and is a predicted model, not a curated record.